AACGAAACCUACAACAAUAUUCAAAAGCCGUCAUGACUAAACUUGAUAACCAAACAGACGCACCGUUCACUCAUCUUCUGCAACCAUCGUUCCCCUUUCACUCCCUAUAUUAGCCCCACCGUCACCAAAUCUCCGGCCAUGGCGGUUACAGAGAAAUCGUGGAGAGAUCGUUGGAGGCGAUGCGAUGAUUGUGGCAGUGAUGGAGGAUGAAGAGUUUAGGAUUUACAAAAAUUGAACGGCGAUGGUAAAGGUGAAUCACUAGCGGUGCUGUUGAGACGGCGGUUGGUUGUGUGAGUUGGUUUUGAUCGAUCGGUGUUUGGUACUUGAUGAGGAUAUGUCGUAUCAACUGGUUCUUGAGUCUUCAGUACUCAACCACGAUUUACCAUCCCUCAACUAUUGUAUAUCGGAAAAUUUUAAAGAGCAUCUAUUAAAAAAAUGGAGAAGAUGACUUUAUUUUGCAUACUAAAUUGAAGAGGGUGCAUUGGGAAUUUUGUAAAAAAUCAGAAAUGAC
RNAcentral lists this long non-coding RNA (511 nucleotides) under Helianthus annuus (common sunflower). RNAcentral's name for it is "hypothetical non coding rna". Lineage: Eukaryota; Viridiplantae; Streptophyta; Magnoliopsida; Asterales; Asteraceae. The record is from RNAcentral.